GCCAUUACUCCCUCUUCUUCUCGGUGGAGAGAGAGAGAGAGACACAGAAGAAGAAGGGGAUGGCGAUGGUGCCGCCGCGUCUGCUGCGGGACCUCAUCGCGCCGCUGCCGCUGUUGCUGUCGCCGGCGUACUGGCUGCCCUGCCACCAGCAGCUGCUGACCUCCGCCGCCCUCCUGCACCGCUGGUGGGUCCCCUUGGCGCGCCUCCGCUGCUCCGACGGAUUCAAGCUCUUCCUCGUCGUCCUCCUCGUCUCCGCCGCCCUGGCCGAGGUCCGCUUCGUCGCCUCCGCGUCCAUGGCGCCCACCCUCCGCCCCGGCGACCGCGCCGUCGCAGAGAAAGUGAGCUACAUGCAUGUUCCGGCGGCCGUCUGUGGGGGAUAUUGUCUUCUUCAGGGUGCCUACCGCGCUGCAGAAUUGUGGCAUCAGUAAGGAUGUUGUAUUCAUUAAGAGGGUUAUUGCCACCCCUGGAGACUUCAUCGAGGUCCGGCAAGGCCAGCUUAUUGUUAACGGUGUUGCACAGAACGAACACUACACCGCACCGCAUGCGUCGUACACGAUGGAAGCCAUGGUCCAGAGAUACUUGUAUGACCAUUGCUACUACACAAACAAAUGACUAUACUACUACUACUGCAAGAGGAGGACCAAAAGUGGCAUGGCUGCUCUGUGUUGUUGACUUCCUGAGUACCCCCAUUGUUCUUUCCAAAUGAAAUGACGGGUCUCAGAUGCGCCUCCCUCAAGGCCAUGUAUUCGUCAUGGGUGAUAACCGUAAUAACAGCUGUGAUUCUCGUGCCUGGGGGCCUCUUCCUAUCAGCAACAUUCUUGGGAGAUACAUGAUGUCCUUCACAAGAUCGUCCCUCCAAUAGCCAAGGCGAAGUGCUUCGAUGACCACCAGUGUUGCCGAACAACCCCCCUGAUGCCACUCGAUAUGAUGUUAUCGAGCUAUGUUGGGCCUCGAGCCCUUCUUAGUAUGUAGAUCCACGAGACCUUCCUAUGCAGUGUGAUGUAGCACUGUCUGUGUAGUACUUGGCAGCUGUUGUCACUCACCCCUGGACUGUCAGGUGUUAGUUAAGCUUACUUGUUGGUAGAACCUGCAAAAUGUGCCUAAAGGUUCACGCCUUCUAGUAACCGUAGCUGUCUGAAUCUUACCGGUAAUGUUUUAUUAUGUACCGCGUGCUUGACUGUCAGAAGUUUGCAAUGAAUCAUUGUGGUGGUUCCUUGCUGCAUGUAGAUAAAUCUGCAAUGUUCAUCACGGCAAUCGCUGAUGUCUCUUGAGUAAUGGUAGCUGUGUCUUGUGUAUGUAGUUGAUGUAUUGAAUAAUGGUUGAUAAUACAGGUUGUGUUCUGAUAUCAA
Molecule: RNA transcript, 1349 nt
Organism: Triticum aestivum (bread wheat)
Lineage: Eukaryota; Viridiplantae; Streptophyta; Magnoliopsida; Poales; Poaceae
Gene name: chloroplast processing peptidase
Exons: 7
Source: RefSeq, a predicted model, not a curated record